Molecule: non-coding RNA, 2602 nt
Organism: Vicugna pacos (alpaca)
Lineage: Eukaryota; Metazoa; Chordata; Mammalia; Artiodactyla; Camelidae
Source: RefSeq, a predicted model, not a curated record
GAGUGAGGGUGGCGGGCAGGGCGGGGGUCCCUGCGGGCUCCGGUGCCUCGGGCGCCCCUCAGUGGCCUUCGCUCAGCUCCUGAGCUGCCUGGAGUAGCUGUGGGCACGCUCACCCGGUGGCGCUCCUUACCCCUAAACACAGGACUGGGGCUGUGCAGACCCAGCUAAGGGCGAGAGUCAGAAGGGGGCCUGGCCUUAAGCCUCCUGCUGCCUUCAGCCCAAAUCUGCAUUUCAUGACAGGAUUAACCACCUGUUGGAAACCAGGGCCUCCCCUCCCGAACCUUGGGUGGUACAGCAUCUUGGUCCCUCUGCCCUCCCCCACCCAGGAUUGCCCCCGUUGCUUCCUGAGGGACCCCUCUGCUCUGACCUGGGAGCCCCAGGUAGACCUCCAGCAGCACCCGUAGACCUCCAGCAUGGGGACACCUGUGCCCUUCCUCCCGGAGAGGGCUCGGCCCCAAGUCCAUGCCCAGGCCUCAGCCCCUCUCGCCAGUGCUGCUGACUGAGUGGCCCACCCGGGGACCCUGGACUCUAUGGCAAACACAUCCUUCAUCCCACCGCCCAAGCCCACCCUGCGUUCUGGGCAGCAUCUCUGUCAGCUGUGCCGCCCCAAACCCGGGAGGCGGGCCCCUGAGUCCGGUCUCUCAGAGUACCUGUCUGCCCUCCCCUCAGGACAGAUGAGCCUCGCCUCUGCCCAAAGCCUGCUGCCCACCCCUUCACCUGCCCGGGCUGCCCCCACAGACCCUCCAAAUUAGAGGGAAGCCAAGCCCUCCCAGGACGCAGGCCCCUCCCUGACCUCCGAGCCUCCUUUUGGGAACCUCUGCUUUCUACCCUCAGCUCCCGAGGAGCUCGCUCUCAUGCCCCCUCCCCUCCUCCACGCCUCCACUGGAUUUAUUCUCUGGUUGACUGCUGCCUCCACGGGAGCAUCUGCCCCGUGAGUGAGGUGCUCCACAAAGCCCAUGAGGCUCAUGGCUGCAUCCCCAGCUCCCGACACACUGCCCGGCACCCAGAGCAUUCAGGAGAUACUGGUUGGGGGGGUGGACAGACGGAUGGACAGAUGGGUGGGUGGGCAGGUGGUGAGUGAGUGGGUGGGUCGGUGGGUGCAUCUCCCAACAGCUGUCUGUGUUGGGGUCCCAUGAGGCUGGAGCGGUAUGACUGUUCCUCGGGCUUGCUCCCCAGUUUCUUGCUGAUGGGAGUGACCAUCUGGUGUAGUGGAGGGCGCGGGUUCAAGUCGGGCUCCGCUGGGCCUCCAGCCUCAAGCGUUGUUGUGAGCACCAGGGUCAGGGGUGGGGGAGGCCACCAGGGGUGUGGCCUGGUGCCGUGGUCCAUGCUGGGCUCAGCCGUGUCCAGGUUUCUGCCCCAGCCCCAUUCUCAGCCUCUGGUCCUGGAGACAGAGUCAGCGCAACAAGAGCAGGGUUACCUCCAGCUCAGCACAGGGCUCCUGGGUGGAGCCUGUAGGAAGAGUGGCCGCUUUGAAGACUGUGCCCUUGCAUUCCACAGGAAGGCCACGUUCCCACCAGAACGGCAUGUGCUGGGGCACCCAGUGACCCUCCGGUCACGUCACCCUCGGGGACUCUCACCAGGAGCCUGUCCUGAGGGCUCCCAGCACUUCUCCCUGGAGGAGCUGCUUCCGGGACCCAGGAGGCAGUUCAGAGGGCAGAAGAGCGGAGUGUCACCGUGUGGGCUUAUGGAUUCAGAAGGAAUGCUGACAUCACCGUUGGCCGCUGGGCGGUGUGCUGCAAUGGGCUGCAGCACCCCUCACUCCAGAGAUACCAAUGUGCACCCGGAAGACUUAAGAACAGCGCCCCCUGGAGUUGUGCUCCCUCCAUGGCUGGGGACCAGAUGUGCCCAGAGGGCUGGCUGUGCUUGGGGGGGUGUGGGGGGCGUCUGCAGGAGUGUGAUGGUCUGAAAACUGCCCCUCUCUUGCCACCACCGGGCCGCCCCGAGCCUCCCCAACCUGGUCCCGCCCCGUGGGUGACCCGUGGGUUUGUGGGCACACACGCUGUCUCGGUCUGCUUGUGCGGCCAGGAAAAAGCGGCACAGACUCGGAUCUUAAACGGCAGACCUAUUUCCUCACAGAGCUGGAGGCUGCAAGUCCGAGAUCAAGGCUGGACAGGGUUGGUUCCGCUUCCGGCGAGAGCCUCUUCCUGGCUUCCAGUCGCUGCCGUCUCCUCAGGCGGCCUUUCCUCGGGGCACAGGCAGGAGGGGAGAAAUCUCUCUCCUCCUCUUCUUACAAGGCCGCGGAUCCUAUGGGCUAGGGCCCACCCUCAUGCCCUCAUUCAGCCUAACUGCCUCCUAACGGCACCACCUCCAAACCCUACCUCAGGCCGGGGGGAGCCUCAGCACAGGAGUUCCGGGGGACACGGUUCAGUCCAUAACACCCCCGGGAAGGCCACAACCACGCAGCGUAAUCCAGAAAGUUAAGAUGAUGCAAGUAAUCAGUCCAAAAAGAACUGCGACCUCCCUCACCUGCUGGGACCCUCACGUUAAGCAGGUAAAAGUGGAAAACCUCGCAUCUGGUCCAUCAUGCUGGCCUUGGCUGUGCGUUUCAUUCACGUGGUUGGUUUGUGAGAAACAGCCUGUGAAUAAAGAGGCAAAGGCUUUG